This is a transfer RNA of 77 nucleotides. It matches the Rfam family "tRNA". From Rfam's summary of the family: Transfer RNA (tRNA) molecules are approximately 80 nucleotides in length. Their secondary structure includes four short double-helical elements and three loops (D, anti-codon, and T loops). Further hydrogen bonds mediate the characteristic L-shaped molecular structure. tRNAs have two regions of fundamental functional importance: the anti-codon, which is responsible for specific mRNA codon recognition, and the 3' end, to which the tRNAs corresponding amino acid is attached (by aminoacyl-tRNA synthetases). tRNAs cope with the degeneracy of the genetic code in two manners: having more than one tRNA (with a specific anti-codon) for a particular amino acid; and 'wobble' base-pairing, i.e. permitting non-standard base-pairing at the 3rd anti-codon position.
CGGUGAGUGGCGCAGCUUGGUAGCGCAACUGGUUUGGGACCAGUGGGUCGGAGGUUCGAAUCCUCUCUCACCGACCA